GGGAUGACACAGUAGGAUAAGCUAAGCACACUGUUGGUUAUGUGUGCCCAAGCAUUGAGGCAGUCAAAGUAGGCAAAUCCGCUUUGAUAAUGCUGGGAUGUGAUGGGGAGCGAAAUUUAGUAGCGAAGUAGCUGAUUUCACACUGUCAAGAAAAGUCUCUAUCGAGGUUAAAGGUACCCGUACCGCAAACCGACACAGGUGGGUGAGGAGAGUAUCCUAAGGCCAGCGAGAGAACUGUUGUUAAGGAACUCGGCAAAAUGACCCCGUAACUUAGGGAUAAGGGGUGCCACCAUCAGGUGGCCGCAGAGAAUAGGCCCAAGCGACUGUUUACCAAAAACAUAGGUUUCUGCUAAGUCGCAAGACGAUGUAUAGGAGCUGACGCCUGCCCGGUGCUGGAAGGUUAAGGGGAUCUGUUAGAGUAAUCGAAGCAGUGAACUUAAGCCCCAGUAAACGGCGGCCGUAACUAUAACGGUCCUAAGGUAGCGAAAUUCCUUGUCGGGUAAGUUCCGACCCGCACGAAAGGCGUAACGAUUUGGGCACUGUCUCA
RNAcentral lists this ribosomal RNA (547 nucleotides) under Clostridioides difficile. RNAcentral describes it as "bacterial LSU rRNA". It matches the Rfam family "Bacterial large subunit ribosomal RNA", at positions 1466 to 2023 of the family's 2925-position model. The record is from RNAcentral. Lineage: Bacteria; Bacillati; Bacillota; Clostridia; Peptostreptococcales; Peptostreptococcaceae.